GGGUGAGUAACACGUGGGUAACCUGCCUGUUAAGACUGGGAUAACUCCGGGAAACCGGAGCUAAUACCGGAUAGUUCCUUGAACCGCAUGGUUCAAGGAUGAAAGACGGUUUCGGCUGUCACUUACAGAUGGACCCGCGGCGCAUUAGCUAGUUGGUGAGGUAACGGCUCACCAAGGCGACGAUGCGUAGCCGACCUGAGAGGGUGAUCGGCCACACUGGGACUGAGACACGGCCCAGACUCCUACGGGAGGCAGCAGUAGGGAAUCUUCCGCAAUGGACGAAAGUCUGACGGAGCAACGCCGCGUGAGUGAUGAAGGUUUUCGGAUCGUAAAGCUCUGUUGUUAGGGAAGAACAAGUGCAAGAGUAACUGCUUGCACCUUGACGGUACCUAACCAGAAAGCCACGGCUAACUACGUGCCAGCAGCCGCGGUAAUACGUAGGUGGCAAGCGUUGUCCGGAAUUAUUGGGCGUAAAGGGCUCGCAGGCGGUUUCUUAAGUCUGAUGUGAAAGCCCCCGGCUCAACCGGGGAGGGUCAUUGGAAACUGGGAAACUUGAGUGCAGAAGAGGAGAGUGGAAUUCCACGUGUAGCGGUGAAAUGCGUAGAGAUGUGGAGGAACACCAGUGGCGAAGGCGACUCUCUGGUCUGUAACUGACGCUGAGGAGCGAAAGCGUGGGGAGCGAACAGGAUUAGAUACCCUGGUAGUCCACGCCGUAAACGAUGAGUGCUAAGUGUUAGGGGGUUUCCGCCCCUUAGUGCUGCAGCUAACGCAUUAAGCACUCCGCCUGGGGAGUACGGUCGCAAGACUGAAACUCAAAGGAAUUGACGGGGGCCCGCACAAGCGGUGGAGCAUGUGGUUUAAUUCGAAGCAACGCGAAGAACCUUACCAGGUCUUGACAUCCUCUGACAACCCUAGAGAUAGGGCUUUCCCUUCGGGGACAGAGUGACAGGUGGUGCAUGGUUGUCGUCAGCUCGUGUCGUGAGAUGUUGGGUUAAGUCCCGCAACGAGCGCAACCCUUGAUCUUAGUUGCCAGCAUUCAGUUGGGCACUCUAAGGUGACUGCCGGUGACAAACCGGAGGAAGGUGGGGAUGACGUCAAAUCAUCAUGCCCCUUAUGACCUGGGCUACACACGUGCUACAAUGGACAGAACAAAGGGCUGCGAGACCGCAAGGUUUAGCCAAUCCCACAAAUCUGUUCUCAGUUCGGAUCGCAGUCUGCAACUCGA
Molecule: ribosomal RNA, 1225 nt
Filed under: Bacillus sp. (in: firmicutes)
Lineage: Bacteria; Bacillati; Bacillota; Bacilli; Caryophanales; Bacillaceae
Description: bacterial SSU rRNA
Rfam family: Bacterial small subunit ribosomal RNA
Source: RNAcentral